RNAcentral lists this ribosomal RNA (334 nucleotides) under uncultured bacterium. RNAcentral describes it as "bacterial SSU rRNA". It matches the Rfam family "Bacterial small subunit ribosomal RNA", at positions 8 to 334 of the family's 1533-position model. The record is from RNAcentral.
AGAGUUCGAUCAUGGCUCAGGAUGAACGCUAGCUACAGGCUUAACACAUGCAAGUCGAGGGGCAGCAUCAUCAAAGCUUGCUUUGAUGGAUGGCGACCGGCGCACGGGUGAGUAACACGUAUCCAACCUGCCGACAACACUGGGAUAGCCUUUCGAAAGAAAGAUUAAUACCGGAUGGCAUAGUUUUCCCGCAUGGGAUAAUUAUUAAAGAAUUUCGGUUGUCGAUGGGGAUGCGUUCCAUUAGGCAGUUGGCGGGGUAACGGCCCACCAAACCUACGAUGGAUAGGGGUUCUGAGAGGAAGGUCCCCCACAUUGGAACUGAGACACGGUCCAA